This 166-nucleotide non-coding RNA is filed under the name uncultured Phocaeicola sp. The record is from RNAcentral. Lineage: Bacteria; Pseudomonadati; Bacteroidota; Bacteroidia; Bacteroidales; Bacteroidaceae.
UGUCUGUUCGGACAAGCGGAUUAAAAGGGAAUCAGGUGAAAUUCCUGAACAGUCCCGCUGCUGUAAGCUCCUUCAACUCUUCGGAAAUAGCUUAUGCCACUGAUAACUGAACAAUAUCGGGAAGGCUCCGGAGAGGGGGUAAGUCAGAAGACCUGCCAUCGUACAA